CUUCCGUCCCAUACCCAUCCAUCGGCCUCCUGAUAUGGACUCACUCCAGACACUGCAGUGAGCUCCAGACCUUCAACUAAAUCCCUCGGUCCCCACUGUGCAGACAGACCCUCUGCACUCUUCCUCACCCUACUCUGUGGGUGGUCAUUGGCUUCUACAAGUGGUCUCCCUACAUGCUACAUUGGGCUUCCCUAUAAAAAGGAAGCCUCAAGGCCAUUAACCUGGUUGCAUGGCAGCUGAAAGUAUUUCAAGUGGAUAUUUCAGAUAAAGAAAGUGCAAGCUGCGUCAUAAACUAAAUUUGGAAGGAAAAGAGAUUCCUUUUCUGCCAUAAGAAGCCUAGUCCUGGGAGGCAUGCAGCAUCAUUUCCAGUACAUCCUGUGGGUUAUCAGUCACAAACCCACUCAGAAGAGGAGGGGAAUUUGACUUCACCUCUUGAUGGGGCAUAGCAAAAUCCACACAAGCAUAUAGUAUGCUAAAUAAUAUAACUGUGAUUCAUCCAGAACCCAGAAGGAAAGAACUACUUUAUCAAAAGAAGUUUUAGAAAGAGAAGAUUAGUAACAAUAUGAAAAGAUGUUCAACAUUAGAUGCCAAUAAGACAUUUCAAAUUAAAACAACUAUGAGGUACCACUAUAGACCUAUUAGAAUAAUCAAAAUCCAAAAACUCUAGCAAUAUUAAACACUGAUAAAGAUGUGAAGCAAUAAGAACUCUCAUUGUGAUGGAAAUGCCAAAUGGCAAAGCCACUUCGAAAGACAGUUCAGCAGCAUCUGACAAAAAGAAAUACGUACUUUUGCCAUAAGAUCCAGCAGCUACAGGGUGUAUAUGAGAACUCUCUAAACUUGUGGUCCAGUUUUGCUGUUCAACUAAAACUGCUCUAAAAAAAAUAAAAUCUGAAAGAGAGAGACUUAACAUAUUGUAAAGAUAUCAAUAAGAACACAGCCUACCACUGUCCCCAAGAUAAAAUUAGCACCUUAGCACAAUCUCAUUCUCAACUUUAAUGAGCUCUUAUUUUAAAAUUCAUCUUGAAGAGUAAAAUUUUAACGUAAGACUUAAUCAGAGGCAAAGACCAAAGGGAGCUACCGACUUUCUAGAAUUAAAGGGAUUAACAGCGGUAAAAGCACUUAGAAAAUGCACUGUAACAAGCACUCAGUAAAUGUUAGCUAUUCUUACCAUUGUAUGACUGAAAUAAUGUUACUCCUAAUGCAAUCCUCCUCAAGGUAGGUGAUAAUGAAAAUGGCCAGAGGUAAAAUAUCUGGAGCUACUGUGUAGUGUUACUGUAAUGAAGGAAAGGAAAUAAAUAGCUUAGUAAGUAGAGGGAAAAGUAAAAUCCAGAGGGACAGUUUUACAAUAGAAGAAAUAUGACUAUAUUUGUGUGCUGUUAAUUCCAAUCUUCAAAGAGAUGGAAAUGAUAAUAUGUAUGAGAGUCAAAGGAUUAUUUUCUGGAUCCUUUCCCUUGAUUAGGAAAUGGGGAAUGAGAUAUAUGAGUGCAGAGCACAAGGGAGGGUUGGCCCUAGACUAGCAAGUGGUCUAUCCCUCCUUGAGAGGGAGCUGGCUAGACAGACUCAGAUGCUAGUAGUUAGGAGUGUGAUCAAGCCUACUAAAUCAGAAGCCAG
Heterocephalus glaber (naked mole-rat) is the source of this 1611-nucleotide long non-coding RNA. Lineage: Eukaryota; Metazoa; Chordata; Mammalia; Rodentia; Bathyergidae. The record is from Ensembl.